GAUUUGUCCAAAGUUUCUAUUAAUCCAUCCUAGCAGCAGAGCCAAGUGUUAGAGUUAUUGCUGCCUGAGUUAUAACAGCUGCCCUGGGAAUCUUGUCUGAACAACAAGUUAACUGCUGUUCCCAGUUAUAUCUGGUCUUUCCCACCCCCAAACAUACACAAAAGAUUUUUGUCAUUCUUGGCACUGGACAACAGAAGUGAUAAGACAUGCCAGCAGAACUCUAAAGGCAGAAUGUCCUUCCACCUGUUUUAUGCUGUAAGACAAACUUCCAAGUGCGAGGCAGUGUGGAGGGCUGUUUCCUUGAAUGGCAGCUGAAUGCACCGGCGGGAUCCUUGGCAGCAAUGCCCAGGCACUGAAGCCGGGCAUUCAGGAGAGCUAAAUGGAGAAAAGAAACUUGAGCAAACUGCUUCCUGGAACACUGAGAACCUGAAUGGGAAAUUAAGAAGAACCAGAUUCUUUCUAUUCUUCCACCAGCCAAGGUCAGAUUUCCAAACUUCUAUUGAUUCUAAUCUUUCCCAAACAGUGCUGUGGCAAUGUAUGAAAGUAAUAAAAAUAAUCCUUUUUCUGUUAAAAAAAAUUGCUGUUACUUGCUGUUUUGUUAUGCUUUUGCUGGAGAUUUUCCCACCCAUCUUAAAGCAGCAACUUCAGGAUGGGGGAAUCAAGCAAAACCAUGGUGAAGAGAUUCAUUUAAAGAGGACAAGUGAUUUAUUCUACAUCUCAGGAGACAGUUCCUUAAGGUGAUGAGCACAAAAGGAUCCAUCUUAUACAGUGCUUGCCAGCUUCCAUAAUACUACUCACCACGAUGUUGAAAUCACCUGUUCCAGAACCAGUCCUGUCCUUUGACAAGAAGGAUUUAAUUAUCAGUAGUGGUGGGGACUGGCUGGAGAGAGGAAAAACACUUCAAGGACUCUGCCACCUUUCGUAGAUGGAGAGUGCAAAGUUUGUACCAUGGAACUCCUUCUCUAACAGUUACUCUGUGGCAGUGCCUAUUUCAAACCUCCCUUAACUUCUGAUUGUAUAGAUGUUUGUUUCAUUUGUUCAUCUGUUUGUUCACUUAGUCAGAGAUGUUUUAAGCCUUAAGAGAAAUAGUGGACUAGAAAAUGCCUUGGAAAAGUACAAAGUUCAAUCCAAGUAAACUGUUUUUAAACUAGGAACUUAUGAAGCCUAAAAUAUAAAAUGUAUGUACAUGGAUAUGCUCUGAAGUGAGGUAGAGGGGUAGAAAUCAACAUUGUGAUAUUGUACUAUAGUUUUGCAAGAUGUUACCAUUGGGGGAAAAUGUUUGAAGGGUAUACAGGAUAUCUCUGCCUUAUUUCUUACAACUGCAUGUGAAUCUACAGUUAUCUCAAAAUAAAAAUUUAAUUAACAAUUGAU
Molecule: long non-coding RNA, 1371 nt
Filed under: Pan troglodytes (chimpanzee)
Lineage: Eukaryota; Metazoa; Chordata; Mammalia; Primates; Hominidae
Description: long non-coding RNA NONPTRT015552
Source: RNAcentral